Molecule: unclassified non-coding RNA, 1325 nt
Filed under: Drosophila ananassae
Lineage: Eukaryota; Metazoa; Arthropoda; Insecta; Diptera; Drosophilidae
Description: GF18735
Source: RNAcentral
CGGAUAUAAGGAAAUUUGAAAAUGGCCGAACGUCGUGGUCGCAUUCCCGUGGCCAAGUUCCGCACCCAGGAGGCCAAAACCCGUAGCAGGAGUCGCGUCCGAGAGCCAGACUAUAAUGAGCAGGAUCCAGAGCACGAUAUGUUCACGCUACUGGAGGAUAACAUCGCCCUGAGGGAGGAGAACAAAGCCCUCAAGCUGGAAAUAGAAACUCACAAAACCACUCAGGAGGAGCAGCAAGCUCAGCACGAAAAGUUGUGCAUUCAACUGGAGUCUCUGCAACAGCAGCAGACCAACUUCGAGUCCCAAAUCAAGGAACUGAGCUCGAAAUUCAACAAGGCUUUGAACGAGAGAAAUGCUUUAGAUAAGUUGCACAAAAUGAAGGUCGAUCAGAUCCACAAUCUCACCAGCGAACUGGAGCACAUGCGUGAAAAGCAGCAUGAUCAGAGUCCUGAACCUAUCAUCUCUCGACCUGUUAUCGGUUCGGUGGAACUCAAACGAAAACUGUUCAAGAUCCUGCAACAAGGCAGUGCUGACAGCGCCGACAGUUUCGGUAAUCAGGACUUGGAUAGCUUAGUGGAUGUUAACUCUGAGGGAGUACCAAUUACCUCUGGCCUGAUGGAGCGUUUAGCAGAUGAGUUUCUAACGCUCAAGCAUUCCACCAAUACUGUGGAGCUACAGCUUUAUGAGGCCAAUGAAAAGAUGUCUGAGCUACUGGAGCAGCAACACUCAUUGGAGGAGGAGAACGAAUCGCUGCGCACUGAGAACAGCAAUCUAACCAAGGUGGCCAAGUUGCUCACCGAAAACAUGAAGGAAAGUGUGGAAACUAGCCAGAAAAUGGAGGCGGCGCUGAUCAAACUGAAGCAGCGCAACGAUGAGCUGACUGCCAGGACUCGGGAUCUUACUGAUGGACAGCCAGGUGCCAGGACCAGUACCACUUCGAGCGUGCUAAAUGAACAGGAGGAAUUCGAGCAGAUCCAGGAUCAGGUGCAGCAGCAGGCUCGCGAGCACAAUGAACGCAUCGUGGAAAUGCAAUCACGGAGCGUGUUCGAUGUAUUCAAGCCGCUCUCGAAUUUCUUCCGGAGCAACUGAAUACGAAACGCUGGCGUUGAUGAUUUUCCACAAAACAAAAAAUAAUAUUUCUUGAGAAAUGCAUGGAAUGUGUCCAGCUGAAAAAAAAAUAUAUUGGUGCUGGGUCAGAUCACCCUCUACUCUACUAUACUCCUCCACAUCCAUCCGAGUCACGUCUUGACGCUCUAGUGCGGGAGUUCAAGUCGGGCGGCGUGACACUGCGGAGGCGAAAUCGACGCAAGACCGGCACCAGCGAG